AUUGAACGCUGGCGGCAUGCUUUACACAUGCAAGUCGAACGGUAACAGGGAGCUUGCUCCGCUGACGAGUGGCGAACGGGUGAGUAAUAUAUCGGAACGUACCCAAGAGUGGGGGAUAACGUAGCGAAAGUUACGCUAAUACCGCAUACGAUCUAUGGAUGAAAGCAGGGGACCUUCGGGCCUUGUGCUCCUGGAGCGGCCGAUAUCUGAUUAGCUAGUUGGUGAGGUAAAGGCUCACCAAGGCGACGAUCAGUAGCUGGUCUGAGAGGACGACCAGCCACAAGGGGAAUGAGACACAGCAGAAACUGCAACGGGAGGGAGCAGUAGGGAAUGUGCGGCAAUGGCCGAAAGUCUGAACGAGCAAGGACGCGUGAGUGAAGAAGGUGUUCGGAUAGUAAAACGCUGUUGGUAGAGAAGAAAGGUUGUGAGAGUGGAAAGAUCAUGAAGUGACGGUAAGUAACCAGAAAAGGACGGCUAACUACGUG
Molecule: ribosomal RNA, 485 nt
Filed under: uncultured bacterium
Lineage: Bacteria
Description: partial 16S ribosomal RNA
Rfam family: Bacterial small subunit ribosomal RNA
Source: RNAcentral